GACGAACGCUGGCGGCGUGCUUAACACAUGCAAGUCGAGCGGAGCGGCGAACGGGUGCGUAACGCGUGAGUAACUGCCCCCCUCUCUGGGAUAACAGUUGGAAACGGCUGCUAAUACCGGAUAGCGGGGGAUGACUCCCGGCCGAUUAGCUGGUUGGUGGGGUAGUGGCCUACGAAGGCGACGACGGGUAGCCGGCCUGAGAGGGCGGCCGGCCACAUUGGGCUGAGAUACGACCCAAACGCCUACGGGAGGCAGCAGUGGGGAAUAUUGCACAAUGGGGGAAACCCUGAUGCAGCAACGCGCGUGGGGGAUGACGGCCUUCGGGUUGUAAACCGCUUUCGGCCAUGACGCGGUAGUGGCAGAAGAAGCACCGGCUAACUACGUGCCAGCCGCCGCGGUAAUUC
RNAcentral lists this ribosomal RNA (404 nucleotides) under uncultured bacterium. Its description in RNAcentral is "partial 16S ribosomal RNA". It matches the Rfam family "Bacterial small subunit ribosomal RNA", at positions 28 to 526 of the family's 1533-position model. The record is from RNAcentral.